AUACGGAGGGUGCAAGCGUUAUUCGGAAUCACUGGGCGUAAAGGACGCGUAGGUGGGUUGGCAAGUCAGAUGUGAAAUCCUACAGCUUAACUGUAGAACUGCAUUUGAAACUGCUAACCUAGAGUAUGGGAAGGGGAGAUGGAAUUAGUGGUGUAGGGGUAAAAUCCGUAGAUAUCACUAGGAAUACCGAAAGCGAAGGCGAUCUCCUGGAACAUAACUGACGCUAAGGCGUGAAAGCGUGGGGAGCAAACAGGAUUAGAUACCCUAGUAGUCC
Molecule: ribosomal RNA, 274 nt
Filed under: uncultured bacterium
Lineage: Bacteria
Description: partial 16S ribosomal RNA
Rfam family: Bacterial small subunit ribosomal RNA
Source: RNAcentral